RNAcentral lists this ribosomal RNA (778 nucleotides) under Dothideomycetes sp. genotype 162. Its description in RNAcentral is "eukaryotic LSU rRNA". The stretch from base 201 to 778 matches the Rfam family "Eukaryotic large subunit ribosomal RNA", at positions 1 to 583 of the family's 3401-position model. The record is from RNAcentral. Lineage: Eukaryota; Fungi; Ascomycota; Dothideomycetes.
CCCCUUGGUAUUCCAUGGGGCAUGCCUGUUCGAGCGUCAUUUGUACCUUCAAGCUCUGCUUGGUGUUGGGUGUUUGUCCUUGCUCCUAGGGAGUAGGACUCGCCUUGAAGUAAUUGGCAGCCAGUGUUUUGGUUUGAAGCGCAGCACAAGUCGCGAUUUAAGCUGAAUCAAUAGCUCUCCAUUAAGACAUCUAUCACUUUUGACCUCGGAUCAGGUAGGGAUACCCGCUGAACUUAAGCAUAUCAAUAAGCGGAGGAAAAGAAACCAACAGGGAUUGCCCCAGUAACGGCGAGUGAAGCGGCAACAGCUCAAAUUUGAAAUCUGGCUCUUUCAGGGUCCGAGUUGUAAUUUGCAGAGGGCGCUUUGGUGUUGGCAGCGGUCCAAGUUCCUUGGAACAGGACGUCACAGAGGGUGAGAAUCCCGUACGUGGUCGCUAGCCUUCGCCGUGUAAAGCCCCUUCGACGAGUCGAGUUGUUUGGGAAUGCAGCUCUAAAUGGGAGGUAAAUUUCUUCUAAAGCUAAAUACUGGCCAGAGACCGAUAGCGCACAAGUAGAGUGAUCGAAAGAUGAAAAGCACUUUGGAAAGAGAGUCAAAUAGCACGUGAAAUUGUUGAAAGGGAAGCGCUUGCAGCCAGACUUGCCUGUAGUUGCUUAUCCGGACUUUUGUCCGGUGCACUCUUCUGCGGGCAGGCCAGCAUCAGUUUGGGCGGUUGGAUAAAGGUCUCUGUCAUGUACCUCUCUUCGGGGAGGACUUAUAGGGGAGGCGACAUGCAACCAGC